Molecule: transfer RNA, 74 nt
Filed under: Elusimicrobia bacterium RBG_16_66_12
Lineage: Bacteria; Pseudomonadati; Elusimicrobiota
Also listed under: 3 other names
Description: tRNA-Gly
Rfam family: tRNA
About the family: Transfer RNA (tRNA) molecules are approximately 80 nucleotides in length.
Source: RNAcentral
GCGGGCGUAGUUCAAUGGUAGAACACGAGUUUUCCAAACUCGUUACGUGGGUUCGAUUCCCAUCGCCCGCUCCA